UACACACCGCCCGUCACGCCAUGGAAGCUGGGGGGACCUGAAGUCGGUGGGCUAACCGCAAGGAGGCAGCCGCCAAAAGGUCAAUUCAGUGACUGGGGCG
This 100-nucleotide ribosomal RNA is filed under the name uncultured bacterium. RNAcentral describes it as "partial 16S ribosomal RNA". It matches the Rfam family "Bacterial small subunit ribosomal RNA", at positions 1384 to 1482 of the family's 1533-position model. The record is from RNAcentral.